UGGGGAAUCUUGCGCAAUGGGCGAAAGCCUGACGCAGCCAUGCCGCGUGUAUGAUGAAGGUCUUAGGAUUGUAAAAUACUUUCACCGGGGAAGAUAAUGACGGUACCCGGAGAAGGAGCCCCGGCUAACUUCGUGCCAGCAGCCGCGGUAAUACGAAGGGGGCUAGAGUUGCUCGGAAUUACUGGGCGUAAAGGGCGCGUAGGCGGAUAUUUAAGUCGGGGGUGAAAGCCCAGGGCUCAACCCUGGAAUUGCCUUCGAUACUGGAUAUCUUGAGUUCGGGAGAGGUGAGUGGAAUGCCGAGUGUAGAGGUGAAAUUCGUAGAUAUUCGGAGGAACACCAGUGGCGAAGGCGGCUUACUGGUCCAUUACUGACGCUGAGGUGCGAAAGCGUGGGGAGCAAAC
This 401-nucleotide ribosomal RNA is filed under the name uncultured bacterium. RNAcentral describes it as "bacterial SSU rRNA". It matches the Rfam family "Bacterial small subunit ribosomal RNA", at positions 355 to 773 of the family's 1533-position model. The record is from RNAcentral.